RNAcentral lists this ribosomal RNA (484 nucleotides) under uncultured bacterium. RNAcentral describes it as "partial 16S ribosomal RNA". It matches the Rfam family "Bacterial small subunit ribosomal RNA", at positions 30 to 507 of the family's 1533-position model. The record is from RNAcentral.
AUUGAACGCUGGCGGCAGGCCUAACACAUGCAAGUCGAGCGGAUGAAGGGAGCUUGCUCCUGGAUUCAGCGGCGGACGGGUGAGUAAUGCCUAGGAGUCUGCCUGGUUGUGGGGGAUAACGUCCGCAAACAGGCGCUACUACCGCAUACGUCCUGCGGGUGCAGGAGGGGGGGCUUCGGACCUCACGCUCUCAGAUGAGCCUAGGUCGGGUUAGCUAGUUGGUGGGGUGAAGGCCUACCAAGGCGACGAUCCGUAACUGGCCUGUGAGGAUGAUCAGUCACACUGGAACUGAGACACGGUCCAGACUCCUACGGGAGGCAGCAGUGGGGAAUGUUGGACAGUGGGCGAAAGCCUUAUCCAGCCAGGGCGCGUGUGUGGAGAAGGUCUUCGGAUUGUAAAGCACUUUAAGUUGGGAGGAAGGGCAGUAAGUUAAUACCUUGCUGGUUUGACGUUACCAACAGAAUAAGCACCGGCUAACUUCGUG